UGGGGAAUAUUGCACAAUGGGCGCAAGCCUGAUGCAGCCAUGCCGCGUGUGUGAAGAAGGCCUUCGGGUUGUAAAGCACUUUCAGCGAGGAGGAAGGUGGUGAGCUUAAUACGCUCAUCAAUUGACGUUACUCGCAGAAGAAGCACCGGCUAACUCCGUGCCAGCAGCCGCGGUAAUACGGAGGGCGCAAGCGUUAAUCGGAAUUACUGGGCGUAAAGCGCACGCAGGCGGUUUGUUAAGUCAGAUGUGAAAUCCCCGGGCUCAACCUGGGAACUGCAUUUGAAACUGGCAAGCUAGAGUCUCGUAGAGGGGGGUAGAAUUCCAGGUGUAGCGGUGAAAUGCGUAGAGAUCUGGAGGAAUACCGGUGGCGAAGGCGGCCCCCCUGGACGAAGACUGACGCUCAGGUGCGAAAGCGUGGGGCAGCAAACAGGAUUAGAUACCCUGGUAGUCCACGCUGUAAACGAUGUCGAUUUGGAGGUUGUGCCCUUGAGGCGUGGCUUCCGGAGCUAACGCGUUAAAUCGACCGCCUGGGGAGUACGGCCGCAAGGUUAAAACUAAAUGAAUUG
Molecule: ribosomal RNA, 566 nt
Filed under: uncultured bacterium
Lineage: Bacteria
Description: partial 16S ribosomal RNA
Rfam family: Bacterial small subunit ribosomal RNA
Source: RNAcentral